AUUUUUAUUUAAUAAUUAAUUUAAAUAUAAAAAGUAAUAAUUUUUUGAAAGUAUAAACGAUAUUAUUAUUAAGAGAUUUGAUCGUGAGUCAAAGUUAUAAUAUAGUUCCACGUGUUUAGAUACAAACUAUAAUAGAUCCUACAUUUAGUUUUUUUUUCUAUAAAUAAAGCCCCUCAAGAAGAACUUAAAAGAACAAAAAAGUCCAAUAGAUACAUAAAUUGUUCUUCAAUUUAUCUUCAAAGUUCAAACAAGAAUUAUUGAAGAUGGAACUUAUAUGUGGUGAGUGAUUUCCAUGCCAUACUUGUCAAGUGAGCAGUCCUUUUUGCUGUUAACCUUUGUCUCAUUGUCUGUUCGACCUUGAAAUAAAAGAAAUAAAUAUACGAAGAAAUAAUUAUAUCAUAUUAUAAUAUUUUGACGAAACGAUUUAUCGUAGCUCUACGUUAUACACAAAUUCUAGCUACUAGAUAAUAUAUAUUAAUUCUUGAUUUUGGAUUUAAUUAAAAUAUAGUUAUGCUAAUUUACUAUCAUCAAUAUUUAGCUUAAUUAAUUAGUGAAUAAAUCUUCAAGGUUUGUAGGGAAGAGGGUAGGGGGAAAAAACUUCAAUUUAUUGUCAAUGUUCAUAGGAUGGUUUAUUUAAUGAAUAAAAUAAUUAAGUCUUUGUUCUUUUGUUAAUUAGGGUAAUUUAAUGAAGUCUUUAAUCGUUUGUUAGUUAGGGUAAUUACAGACAAAUUACAAACUACUUUUAUCAACAAAAAAGAUUUAUAUGAACAUAUUAGUGUUCAAGAAACAAAUUUUUAUCGGGGACCGAUGCAUAGUACAUAGUAACAUUAUGACAAAUCUUUUUCACGAAAAAAAAUAAUAAUGAGAGAAGUACUAAAAACUCUUUCAAACUCAACGUGAAUUAUUAGUUUUAUUCUAAAAAUUAUUGACAGUCUUAAAAACACUCAUAUAUUGGUUGUUGCAGAUCGAAUGAAUAUCUAACUUUAGUUAAAUAACUAAAAGAAUAUUUUUAAAAUUAUAACAAUUCGAGAAUAAAACUAAUAACUGUCGAGUUCAUAAACACUUUCAAUAGAAAUAAUCUCAAUCGUCUAUGGGACAAGCUCUUAGAACUUAAUGACUCAUGAGUUAGGUGUAACAAAAAAAUUUGUGAGUUAUUUUUUUAUAUAUCAUAAUUCUAAUUAGUUUCAAAUUAUAUUAUAUUAAAAUUUUAAUAUGAAUAUGAAAUUUAAUUUGAAAAAAAGAUUAUUAUUUUCCGUUGAAUUCAAACUUUUAAUAUUGAUUUCGCCCCUCAUUCUUUUGUACAUGCCCUAUCUUAUUUUACAAGUUAAUGAUAUUAAAACAUUUUUUCAUGUUUAUCUAUAUUUAUCACUUGCGUAAAAUAUCGUUUGCACCAUUAGUAUAUUAAAGUUCAAAAUGUUCUUUUAAUAAUUAAAGAGAAUAUUGGUAGUGGAUAUUUUAUUUAAUUAAGGUCGAACAUACAAUGAAUCUAAGGUAAAAAAAGAAGCAAAGAGACUGCUGAUUUGUCAAGGUUUUGCACUGAAAUCAACACCAAUGCUUGAAGCUCACAAUUACGAGAAAUAUAUGGAAAUUGAACUUUUACAUGUCGUAGCAGGUAAUAGUUUUAUUUUCGAGUUAUUUUUUUAAAUUAUGAAUGAGUAUUUAUAUAUAUAUAUAUAUAUAUAUUUAUAUAUAUAUCUUUUGUCUUUUAUGUAAUAAAUACAAUGUAAAAGUUUAAUAUACUGAAAUUAUUAUUAUUAUUAUUUGUUAAAUAGAAAUAUAAAAAGUAACAGGUAAUUUUGAAGUAAAACUUCAGCAAAAUUUUUAUGCUACUAAUGAACAUGCUGCAAAUUGUCGAUCGAUGAAAUUUGUGUGAGUUUUACAAUAUAAGAAACCACCUUUUUUAUGACAAUCCUUCACGCCACAAUAACUUGCAAUUUUGAACUUCUAGACAUGUAAACUACAUAUGCAUGUAUUAAUUAUCGUCAUCUAUUAAAUAUUAUGUAUUUUGUCAUUAAUUAAGAUUUUUUUUAUCGUAAAUCAAAGAAAAUAAAUGUAAUUGUGCUAUUAGAUACACAAAAAUAGGGAGAGAGGUGAGCGAGAUUGGUAAGCUGGGAAGAUGAGUGUGAUUCAUAUGUGUCUCAUAUACAUGCGAAUCACAGUAGAUACUUUAUCUAUAUGUAUCUGGAGUUAUUCACAUAUCAGAUACAUGGGAGAGACGAGAGAGAUUCGCUAUAUAUCCUAGAUAUACGCGAAUUCACUUGUAUACAGUGUAUUCAUAACAAAUUAUACUUAAUUUUGACUCCAUGUAUUCGAAAUACAUGUAUUUAGAGAUACCAAAAUCUCAUAAGAUACAUAAUAUUACACAUUAGAGUGUAUCGAUUAGCUCAUAUACUAGUGAAAUUUACGGAAGUUCCCCAAAAAUUCAUAUCCUUCCCUCAAUGUCACACCCCUAUAUUCCUCCGAAAAUUGAAUUGUUUUUUUUUAAAGAAAAGAGUUUUUCCAAUUAAAGUGACAUUUUGAAAAGAGAUUAUUCUAUAUUCAGAGUCGUCACUUGGAAUUGAGUUAUGGUGUUCCAAGUUACCUUUUUGUUUAAUCCCUAAUAAAAAGGAAAUGACUCUUUGUUUAGUCUGCGAAUCAGAAAUUCGGGUAAGAAAUUCUACUGAUCGAGGGGAAGGUAUUAGGCAUCCCUCGUGUUCUGUGGUUUCAGCACGGUCGCUUUAUUGACUUUUAUGACUUAAAUUAACUUUUGAAUAUUAUAUUAUUAAAACAAAUAUAUUUAUCCGCAUUAUUUGAUUAACCUUUGACAUAUUUAAAACUACCCUAUUUUAUAAGCAUGUGAAGUUUUUAUACAUUUUUAUUAUUUAUUUAUUUUUGUUUAUUAAUUUUUCAUGCUUUCAACAUUUGUUUGCUUCUUAAUUUCUUUUUUUAUUUUUUUUGUUUUUCUUAUUUGUUUUUAUAAUUGUAUUUUUGUUUCUGUUUCUUAUUUCUUGUACUAAUUAUUCACGUUUUUUUAGCUUUCCUUAUUUUUUAAAUUUUACAGUAAUUUUUUUCUUUUUCUUUUCUCACCCUUUUUAAUAGUUCUGUUUUUUUAUGAUAAUAAUAAAAUAUUUUAUUAUAUUUUUUAACACUAUACAUUUUGUUAAAGUAUUUUUUAUUAUAUUUAUUUUUUAUUUUUUCUUGUACAUUUUCUCCAUCCUUUUUAUUAUAUUUUUUUGUUUUUUUUUCUAAUUCAAAUGUUCCUUCUCCACUACUACUUUUCUUCUUUUGUUAUUCACGUAUUCUACCUUUUUUCCUUAUUUGAUUUUUAUUGUUAUUAUUUUUAAUAGCAUCCAAAAAAAUUAAUAAUGUAAGACGACACACAUAAUAUAAUAUGAAACAUAAUUUAAUGCUUUUCUAAACACAACCAAACAAAGAAUUCAUUCAAAUUAGUAAGAUAUGAAUAUAGAAAUUUGGAUAAUUACGCAUAUUAUCAUUAUAAAGUUAAGAACUUUACAUAAUAACUACACAUAUUAUCAUUAUAGAACUAAAUAUGAAAAAUAAAAAUAGACUUAGAUAAUAAUUUUACUUAAGUAUGAAAUAAACUAUGGAUUAUUUAAUAUGAAAUAAAGUACGGUUUGUUAUAGCAAUUUCACACUAAAUAUAACUAUAUAAAGGAUCUAAACAUAAAGUUGAUAUGAAAUAUUUGAACAUACUUCAUAUAAAAACAUAAUGGUUUAACCACAUGUGAAAUUCGACAACUUCAGUAUAUUGCAAUCAUUGAUUGUAUAAUCAUGAUAUUAAAUUAUACAAUAAAAAUUAAAUGGUACCUCUUGCGAAAAUUUCACCAAAAGAAAACAAUCGGGAUAAGGAACCACGAACUCGAAACCACAAAAGUAAACCUCAACUUCAACUCUUGUUUGUGAGUGAGAGCAAAAUAUGAAAUAAAAUGUGAAUAUAUUUGCUGAUUUUUUUUGUUUGUAGGUGAUUUUCUUCCUUUUUUCAGAUCUUAACACAAAAUAAAAUAUUUACAAUUUUUACAAGUUAAAAUUUGAAAUAAAAUAGAUAAACAUUGAAAACUAUAAACUAACUUAAAAUAUACUAACAAAGUAGAUUAUAAAAUAUUUUUAUAUAAAAUAAAAUUUUAUAUAUAUAGAGAGAGAGUGUGUCAUUGA
This 4151-nucleotide long non-coding RNA is filed under the name Solanum lycopersicum (tomato). RNAcentral describes it as "partial TCONS_00087339". The record is from RNAcentral. Lineage: Eukaryota; Viridiplantae; Streptophyta; Magnoliopsida; Solanales; Solanaceae.